Molecule: ribosomal RNA, 450 nt
Filed under: uncultured bacterium
Lineage: Bacteria
Description: partial 16S ribosomal RNA
Rfam family: Bacterial small subunit ribosomal RNA
Source: RNAcentral
GUGGGGAAUCUUCCGCAAUGGACGAAAGUCUGACGGAGCAACGCCGCGUGAGUGAAGAAGGUUUUCGGAUCGUAAAGCUCUUUCGUUAGGGACGAACGUGCUCUUUGUGAAUAAUGAGGAGUAAUGACGGUACCUAAAUAAGAAGCCACGGCUAACUACGUGCCAGCAGCCGCGGUAAUACGUAGGUGGCAAGCGUUUUCCGGAAUUAUUGGGCGUAAAGCGCGCGCAGGCGGGAUAUCAAGUCUGUCUUAAAAGUGCGAGGCUCAACCUCGUGAGGGGACAGAAACUGGUAUUCUUGAGUGUCGGAGAGGAAAGUGGAAUUCCAAGUGUAGCGGUGAAAUGCGUAGAGAUUUGGAAGAACACCAGUGGCGAAGGCGACUUUCUGGACGAUGUCUGACGCUGAGGCGCGAAAGCUAGGGGAGCGAACGGGAUUAGAAACCCGGGUAGUCC